Molecule: ribosomal RNA, 480 nt
Filed under: uncultured bacterium
Lineage: Bacteria
Description: bacterial SSU rRNA
Rfam family: Bacterial small subunit ribosomal RNA
Source: RNAcentral
GAUGAACGCUAGCGGGAGGCUUAACACAUGCAAGGUCGAGGGGUAAAUGGUAGCAAUACUAUGAGACCGGCGGACGGGUGCGUAACGCGUAUGCAACAUACCUUGUGCAGGGGGAUAGCCCGUGGAAACGCGGAUUAAUAUUCCAUAGUCCAGCUAUAUCGCAUGGUAUAGUUGGUAAAGAUUUAUCGGCACAAGUUUGGCAUGCGUCUGAUUAGCUUGUUGGUAGGGUAACGGCCUACCAAGGCUACGAUCAGUAGGGGUUCUGAGAGGAUUAACCCCCACACUGGUACUGAGACACGGACCAGACUCCUACGGGAGGCAGCAGUGAGGAAUAUUGGUCAAUGGGCGGAGGCCUGAACCAGCCAUCCCGCGUGAAGGAAGACAGCCUUACGGGUUGUAAACUUCUUUUCUGUCAGAAGAAUAAGCUUGUCGAGACGAGUGAUGCCGGUAUGACAGGAAUAAGCAUCGGCUAACUCCGUG